UACUGGGCGUAAAGCGAGCGCAGACGGUUACUUAAGCAGGAUGUGAAAUCCCCGGGCUCAACCUGGGAACUGCGUUCUGAACUGGGUGACUAGAGUGUGUCAGAGGGAGGUAGAAUUCCACGUGUAGCAGUGAAAUGCGUAGAGAUGUGGAGGAAUACCGAUGGCGAAGGCAGCCUCCUGGGAUAACACUGACGUUCAUGCUCGAAAGCGUGGGUAGCAAACAGGAUUAGAUACCCUGGUAGUCCACGCCCUAAACGAUGUCAAUUAGCUGUUGGGCAACUUGAUUGCUUAGUAGCGUAGCUAACGCGUGAAAUUGACCGCCUGGGGAGUACGGUCGCAAGAUUAAAACUCAAAGGAAUUGACGGGGACCCGCACAAGCGGUGGAUGAUGUGGAUUAAUUCGAAGCAACGCGAAGAACCUUACCAGGUCUUGACAUCCCUCUGACCGCUCUAGAGAUAGAGUUUUCCUUCGGGACAGAGGUGACAGGUGGUGCAUGGUUGUCGUCAGCUCGUGUCGUGAGAAG
RNAcentral lists this ribosomal RNA (523 nucleotides) under uncultured bacterium. RNAcentral describes it as "bacterial SSU rRNA". It matches the Rfam family "Bacterial small subunit ribosomal RNA", at positions 552 to 1074 of the family's 1533-position model. The record is from RNAcentral.